RNAcentral lists this ribosomal RNA (440 nucleotides) under uncultured bacterium. RNAcentral's name for it is "partial 16S ribosomal RNA". It matches the Rfam family "Bacterial small subunit ribosomal RNA", at positions 338 to 795 of the family's 1533-position model. The record is from RNAcentral.
CCUACGGGGUGCAGCAGUGGGGAAUAUUGCACAAUGGGGGAAACCCUGAUGCAGCGACGCCGCGUGAGUGAAGACGUAUUUCGGUAUGUAAAGCCCUAUCAGCAGGGAAGAAAAUGACGGUACCUGUUUAAGAAGCCCCGGCUAACUACGUGCCAGCAGCCGCGGUAAUACGUAGGGGGCAAGCGUUAUCCGGAUUUACUGGGUGUAAAGGGAGCGUAGACGGCAGCACAAGUCUGGAGUGAAAUGCCGGGGCUUAACCCCGGAACUGCUUUGGAAACUGUGCAUCUAGAGUGCAGGAGAGGUAAGUGGAAUUCGUGGUGUAGCGGUGAAAUGCGUAGAUAUUAGGAGGAACACCAGUGGCGAAGGCGGCUUACUGGACUGUAACUGACGUUGAGGCUCGAAAGCGUGGGGAGCAAACAGGAUUAGAUACCCCAGUAGUC